RNAcentral lists this ribosomal RNA (175 nucleotides) under uncultured bacterium. RNAcentral describes it as "partial 16S ribosomal RNA". It matches the Rfam family "Bacterial small subunit ribosomal RNA", at positions 1325 to 1500 of the family's 1533-position model. The record is from RNAcentral.
GCUGGAAUCGCUAGUAAUCGCAGGUCAGCAUACUGCGGUGAAUACGUUCCCGGGUCUUGUACACACCGCCCGUCACACCAUGGGAGCCGGAAAUGCCCGAAGCCAGUGACCCAACCUUAGGGAGGGAGCUGUCGAAGGUGGAGCCGGUAACUGGGUGAAGUCGUAACAAGGUAUC